CAUGACCGAGACAUUUCCAAUAGCUCAUCAUCAGAUUUUGAUUUUUCAGUGCUUAAAACACCAAUAAGACUUCCAUCUUCCCUUAAUCGGCGAGUAAUAGCACGAGUGUCAACAUCAUAAAUUCCCAUGAUGUUUCUCUCUGUUAAAUAAUCACCAAGCGUCUGUUUACACCUCCAAUUUGAAGUGCUGAUGCUUAGGCUUCGGA
RNAcentral lists this unclassified non-coding RNA (205 nucleotides) under Hevea brasiliensis (rubber tree). Lineage: Eukaryota; Viridiplantae; Streptophyta; Magnoliopsida; Malpighiales; Euphorbiaceae. The record is from RNAcentral.